RNAcentral lists this ribosomal RNA (253 nucleotides) under uncultured bacterium. Its description in RNAcentral is "partial 16S ribosomal RNA". It matches the Rfam family "Bacterial small subunit ribosomal RNA", at positions 524 to 776 of the family's 1533-position model. The record is from RNAcentral.
UACGAGGGGGGCAAGCGUUGUUCGGAAUUAUUGGGCGUAAAGAGCUCGUAGGCGGUCUGUCGCGUCGGAUGUGAAAGCCCGGGGCUUAACCCCGGGUCUGCAUUCGAUACGGGCAGACUAGAGUGUGGUAGGGGAGAUCGGAAUUCCUGGUGUAGCGGUGAAAUGCGCAGAUAUCAGGAGGAACACCGGUGGCGAAGGCGGAUCUCUGGGCCAUUACUGACGCUGAGGAGCGAAAGCGUGGGGAGCGAACAGG